Molecule: unclassified non-coding RNA, 327 nt
Filed under: soil metagenome
Description: partial contains 5.8S ribosomal RNA, internal transcribed spacer 2, and large subunit ribosomal RNA
Rfam family: 5.8S ribosomal RNA (bases 1-120)
Source: RNAcentral
GAUGAAGAACGUAGCGAAAUGCGAUAAGUAAUGUGAAUUGCAGAAUUCAGUGAAUCAUCGAAUCUUUGAACGCACAUUGCGCCCUUUGGUAUUCCGAAGGGCAUGCCUGUUCGAGCGUCAUUUCACCACUCAAGCCUGGCUUGGUAUUGGGCGCCGCGGUCGAUCCGCGCGCCUCAAAGUCUCCGGCUGAGCUGUCCGUCUCUAAGCGUUGUGAUUUCAUUAAUCGCUUCGGAGUGCGGGCGGCCGCGGCCGGUAAAUCUUUCACAAGGUUGACCUCGGAUCAGGUAGGGAUACCCGCUGAACUUAAGCAUAUCAAUAAGCGGAGGA